GCUCUCUAUGCUUUCUGUCAUCC
RNAcentral lists this microRNA (23 nucleotides) under Ananas comosus (pineapple). RNAcentral's name for it is "aly-miR157d*". Lineage: Eukaryota; Viridiplantae; Streptophyta; Magnoliopsida; Poales; Bromeliaceae. The record is from RNAcentral.